RNAcentral lists this small RNA (3077 nucleotides) under Rattus norvegicus (Norway rat). Its description in RNAcentral is "uncharacterized LOC102553542". The record is from RNAcentral. Lineage: Eukaryota; Metazoa; Chordata; Mammalia; Rodentia; Muridae.
UUUGAGUUCCUGUCCUUACUUUCUUCAGUGGUGAAUUGUAGCAUGGGAGCAUAAACCAGGUAAACCCCUUCCUUCCCACCUGGCUUUGGUUGUGGUGUUUUAUCAUAGCGAUCGUGUCUAACUAUGACACUUGCAUCCGCCUGUGGCCUGUCCUGAUAAUAAAAUCCAGAACACCAAGUGAAACCUGAAGUUCAGUUAAACGACGAAUAAUUUUUAGUGUAAGCUUGUCGCGUGUAACACGGGAAACAUGCGAAACUAACCACACUUUACCUGGCAUCCAAAUGAAUUAGCAUCCUGUAUUUUUGACUUGCUAAUUCGGAUGAAGGUUGGCUUUAGGGAUGCUGUAGGGAACAGGAGGUAGGUUAAGCCAUUGCAGCUGCCACAAGAUAGGCUACCUUACCUCCUCCCAGCAUUCAGUGGUAGUGAGAAAUGGGGCUAAUACAGCAGCCCCAGUGGCCUCUCAUCACCUCAGAAGUGUUACUCUUUUCAUGAGUGCAUCUCAUUGUCAGGUUUUUAAGCAGAGCUUGCGGGUGGCUGGUCCUUCACUGUUCAGCAUGGAGGACCUGGCCCAGAACAGUUGUGUGGUAACCAUUUCUUAAACGAAUGGACAAGUUUUAAAGCGCACCACCCCAGAAGUGGCUGACGGUCCUUGGUGGCCGUAUUACGUCAGUGUUUGUCAGCUGCCAACACACACUCAAGACAAGUUAUAGAGAGAAGAGGUUUUCAGGCUCUAGGUCAGGAGGUUCCAUAUGAGGCAGGCAUUGAUUUUGGGCCUUUUCUAGGGGAGCCUGAAGGUGAUGGCAGGUAGUUGUGAGAAGCAACAACGUCCACCUCACGGCUAAGAUACAAAACAGAGGAAGAGGAGAGGGCUGGGGUCUUAAAUCCCCUUAAAGAACACACCCACUGUGACCUAAUAUGUCUCACUAAGAGUGACGUCAUAAAGCUUCCAUUGCUGGACGCCAAGCCUCCGGGGACUUUGGGUCAGACAUUUAUCCAAACCAUAUCAAUGUCUAUGGUCCGGUGUUGUCUAUUUCAGGUUGAGUCAGAUGUUGACAGAGUAUGAAGGCCCAUCAGGGCCAUAGAGCAGUAGAGUAGCCUUUGAGUCGGCCUCUUAGUGUGAUUCAGGUAUGGGGUAUAACCAGAACAUUUAGUCUGACUGCUGCACACGGCCUGUCUGAUAACCCCAUCCUGUCCAGCAUGGUGUCUGCACGCUGAACAUUCUUAGCAGAUGGUGGGCUCUAUGCUCAUUACUCUUAAUACGAUUUAUUACCACUGAAGGGACUCGAGGAUAAAAGGAAAACCUGCCAAUAGUGUCACUGGGGCAACAAGCCAGCAGAGCUAUUCUUGGAAAUGUGGAGCUUCGGGCAUGGGACCUUUGAGCAUGAAGCAGCAAAUGGCAAAUACAGUGCAGAUUCCCCUAGGCAGCGUGGUGCUUAGGCUCAUCCUUUACACACCAUGAUGAUGUAAUCCCACCAGCUCCGCUCGGACGCACUUCCUCCUGGAAGAACGUUUACCAGAGUCAGUCUAUGCUAAGUCUGUCACGAUCUAAUUCAGAUGAUGUUCUGCUGCGUGCGUAACUGGAACAUCCCAAGGGAAGGGUCUACGUGAUUUAAUUUUGUACUAUAGCAUCCAGCACACUUCCCGGUUUUAUGAUGUAUGUUUGUAUCAGAUAGAGUAGGCUGGGUUUUUGCCGCAGUACAAAGAUGUGCUUUCAGAUUUUGGCAGCUUAUUUUAACCAAGGGUUACUUUCUUGCCCAUGUCAUUUGUUCUCUGUUGGUCCUGAUGUUGUUUGUCCUCUGUUGGUCGGCAUAGGGAGGAGUUCACUGACUCCUCAUCUGAGACCUAGGGUGUAGGGCAAGUUUUGAACGGAAUGUUGAAAUCCUCUUGAUAGAGCCACAGUAUGGAGCCCCAGGCUGCCUCUCAAAGCUCCUCAGAACAAUUACUUCCACUUAUACCUCAUGACAAACCAAACCACGCAGUCAAGCUGACCUCCUGAGAAGAAGGGAAAUACCAUUCUCCCUCACGGAAGAAGAGAAAAGGUUUUUGAACAAGAAUACAAUCUUCUACAGUGCCCAGGUCAAGCAAAAUUCUAUGAAUUUUGUAUUUGUGAAUGCAAUGUUUGGUACCACUGCAGCAACAAUUAUAUGGAUUCAAAUGGAAUCCCAUUACAACUGCUCUUUGGAGACGCACCGCUCUCUGAAAAGGGAGUGAACCAAGCAAGCCUGAGCUAUUCUUAGUCUAGCCCUGGCUCUUAUACUCGGACUGUGUGGGACCAGGUGGAACUGCAUAGGAUGCAUCCUUCUGAUGGCUUCUUUCGCUUGGCAACGUGUUCAGUUUCCCCUGUGUCUUCUCCUAGAUCGAACAUUCAUUUUGCUUGCUGAGUAACACCUGGGUGCAGGUACUGAAUUCCAGGUCAAGGGUUCUGCUGAAGUGGAAUUAAAAUAAAAUGUGGCUUACACAGUGUGCUGCAGGAGAUGGACUAAACACACCACGGUCCUCACAAGUGAAAGUUUAGUGAAUGACCUGCCACACGGUCUCUCAUGAAAUAUCUGGGUAGAGUUUUCUCUUAUAGGGUACCUUUUUUUUCCAUUUUGGGGAGUUUCCCCAUUGUCACAGAAAAUCCCAUUCGAGGGGUUUCGCUAAAUGUUGGACUCUAUUAGUGAAGAGAGAUCUUCCUGUUGAAACACAGGACUGGAUUUUUGAGUGGAGCAAGAGUGUCCCCUUCACAGAACAUGUUCACGAAUCAAAGCCCUGUAGGAGGAACUGGCAUUUCUUGCUAUCGCAUCGACUCCAGUGGCUGAGUCUUUGGCCUGAAAGGAUCCCUCCAUGCUAAAUGAAGAAGACCUGAUAGAGGAGAGCAAAGAAGAGAAGUGGGAAAUGGAGAGAAUUCAAAGAGCCAGUUCAGAGACUGCCGAGAGGAGAGAUCCAGCUGACUCUGGUUUUCUGUUGUUGAGAAAUAGUCACUGUCCCACAGAAGCUGCCACAGGUGUAACAAUGUGGAGAGAACUCUGUGUGUGUGUUAAUGUAUGUAUUUAUGUGCAUGGGUGUGAUGUGUGUUUGUGUUGUGUGUAUAUGUG